This is a long non-coding RNA of Poecilia latipinna (sailfin molly), 600 nucleotides long. RefSeq lists it as uncharacterized. The transcript has 2 exons. The record is from RefSeq and is a predicted model, not a curated record. Lineage: Eukaryota; Metazoa; Chordata; Actinopteri; Cyprinodontiformes; Poeciliidae.
AGUUAAUUUAUUUUAGCAGUUAAAUUAUGUAAGCAAAAGCAAUUAAGCCAGUGUUUCUCAAUCCCACCUGCAUGUUUUAGGCGUUUCCCUUCGGCCACACACCUGAUUUGAAUAAGUGGGUGAUUAACAGACUUGAUGUCUGCAGAGGAAGUCAGACAGUCAUUUGUUCUGGAACAGAGAUCCAUCUAAAAUGUGCAGGCCAGAGGUUCCCCGAGGACAGGAAUGGAGACACUGGAUUAAGCAGAUUAAUUUCAUACAAGAGCGAAGUCGGCCCAAAGUAUUUUAGAGAUAAGCAGCAGAGUCUGUGGAUUUUCUCAAGAAGACGGCCACCUCUGUGGUCCCUUCUCUCCUUAUCUUCACUUAUCCUGGGACGCAGCCGCAGAGCGCCGUGUCACUGCGCGCCAGCAGUCGUCUCCCACGGCCUGGCUGGAAUUCGAGGCUGUGGGUGUGGAAAGUGUUUCUGACGGCUUUGUGCAUUCUUCAAUUGGAACCACAUGUUACAGAGCCUGAACGAAACCUGGCACAGGGAGCGAGGGAAUAUCAGAUAAUCUGCCCUGAGCGUUCUAGUCGCAGUGAGACAGGCAAAGAAUAAACCCAGUA